RNAcentral lists this transfer RNA (72 nucleotides) under Terrestrivirus sp. Its description in RNAcentral is "tRNA-Met". Lineage: Varidnaviria; Bamfordvirae; Nucleocytoviricota; Megaviricetes; Imitervirales; Mimiviridae. The record is from RNAcentral.
UACUAAUAGACAGAAUCGAACUGUCGUCUUUUGGGUAUGAGCCAAACGUGUUAACCGUUACACUAUAUUAGC